Molecule: long non-coding RNA, 250 nt
Filed under: Brassica rapa (field mustard)
Lineage: Eukaryota; Viridiplantae; Streptophyta; Magnoliopsida; Brassicales; Brassicaceae
Description: long non-coding RNA (BRAP_LNC001541)
Source: RNAcentral
AUUACUAUAAAAUUAUGGUAAUAGUUAUUAACACAAAUUUAAGUUAUGUAACAAAUAGAUUUUAAUGUAUUGUUAUAAAAUAGAUACAUAUUUACAUGUUUCUACUUUUAAUCGGUUUUGUUCGGUUUAAUCGGUUAUAUACCAAACCAUAUCCAAAUCCUACGGUUUUUAUAAAAUUAUAUCCAUUCGGUUUAUAUGGUAUAUAUCAAAACCAAACCAUAUUGUCUAUUUCGGUUCGGUUCGGUUCGGU